This 497-nucleotide ribosomal RNA is filed under the name uncultured bacterium. RNAcentral describes it as "partial 16S ribosomal RNA". It matches the Rfam family "Bacterial small subunit ribosomal RNA", at positions 28 to 507 of the family's 1533-position model. The record is from RNAcentral.
GAUGAACGCUGGCGGCGUGCCUAAUACAUGCAAGUCGAGCGAACGGACGAGAAGCUUGCUCCUCUGAUGUUAGCGGCGGACGGGAGAGUAACACGUGGAUAACCUACCUCUAAGACUGGGGUAAUAUUGGGAAACCGUAGCUACUAACGGAUAAUAUUUUGAACCGCAUGGUUCAAAAGUGAAAGACGGUCUUUCGUUCACUAAUAGAUUAAUCAGCGCUGCAUUAGCUAGUUGGUAAGGUGACGGCUUACCAAGGCAACGAUGGAUAGCCGACCUGAGGGGGUGAUCGCACACACUGGAAGUGAGGCACGGCCCAGACUCCUACGCUGAGCCGCAGUAGGGACUCUUACGCGAUGCAGGAGAGGGUGAUAGAGCACCGCCGCGUGAGUGAUGAACGUCUACGGAUGGUAGAACUCUGUAGUUAGUAGAGAUGAAAUGUGUAAUUAACUGUGCAGAUAUUGACAGUACCGAAACAGAAAGCCACGGCUAGCUCCGUG